Molecule: unclassified non-coding RNA, 278 nt
Filed under: Hevea brasiliensis (rubber tree)
Lineage: Eukaryota; Viridiplantae; Streptophyta; Magnoliopsida; Malpighiales; Euphorbiaceae
Source: RNAcentral
AUUGAAGUGGUCUCUUCUCUUGUUCUUUGCUCUUAGCUCCUUUUCAGAUUUUGUAGCAUCCAUAGUUAGAAAUCAGGAGUUACUGAUUCCUAUUGGCCUCUUUAUUGGUGUCUUAUUGACUGACCUUCUAAAAGAGAUAUCUCAAGAAGUGUUUGGCAACUCUGAGGAAUCAAGCUUCAAGAAACAACUUUAUGGUCUCGGUUCCUUCUUCGUUCUCGUAAAGCUAAUUGCUUAUGGCUUCGCUAUUCAAGCACAGACGUUUCCUUUGCAUGUUGCAA